UUCUUCGGAGAGUUUGAUCCUGGCUCAGGAUGAACGCUGGCGGCGUGCCUAAUACAUGCAAGUCGAGCGAACUGAUUAGAAGCUUGCUUCUAUGACGUUAGCGGCGGACGGGUGAGUAACACGUGGGCAACCUGCCUGUAAGACUGGGAUA
RNAcentral lists this ribosomal RNA (151 nucleotides) under Priestia flexa. RNAcentral describes it as "Bacillus flexus partial 16S ribosomal RNA". It matches the Rfam family "Bacterial small subunit ribosomal RNA", at positions 1 to 145 of the family's 1533-position model. Lineage: Bacteria; Bacillati; Bacillota; Bacilli; Caryophanales; Bacillaceae. The record is from RNAcentral.